UACGUAGGUGGCAAGCGUUAUCCGGAUUUAUUGGGCGUAAAGGGAACGCAGGCGGUCUUUUAAGUCUGAUGUGAAAGCCUUCGGCUUAACCGGAGUAGUGCAUUGGAAACUGGGAGACUUGAGUGCAGAAGAGGAGAGUGGAACUCCAUGUGUAGCGGUGAAAUGCGUAGAUAUAUGGAGGAACACCAGUGGCGAAAGCGGCUCUCUGGUCUGUAAUUGACGCUGAGGUUCGAAAGCGUGGGUAGCAAACAGG
This 253-nucleotide ribosomal RNA is filed under the name uncultured bacterium. Its description in RNAcentral is "partial 16S ribosomal RNA". It matches the Rfam family "Bacterial small subunit ribosomal RNA", at positions 524 to 776 of the family's 1533-position model. The record is from RNAcentral.